UACGUAGGGUGCGAGCGUUGUCCGGAAUUAUUGGGCGUAAAGAGCUUGUAGGCGGUCUGUCGCGUCUGCUGUGAAAAUCCGGGGCUCAACCCCGGACUUGCAGUGGGUACGGGCAGACUAGAGUGUGGUAGGGGAGACUGGAAUUCCUGGUGUAGCGGUGGAAUGCGCAGAUAUCAGGAGGAGCACCGGUGGCGAAGGCGGGUCUCUGGGCCGAUACUGACGCUGAGGAGCGAAAGCGUGGGGAGCGAACAGG
This 253-nucleotide ribosomal RNA is filed under the name uncultured bacterium. RNAcentral describes it as "partial 16S ribosomal RNA". It matches the Rfam family "Bacterial small subunit ribosomal RNA", at positions 524 to 776 of the family's 1533-position model. The record is from RNAcentral.